This 305-nucleotide ribosomal RNA is filed under the name uncultured bacterium. RNAcentral describes it as "bacterial SSU rRNA". It matches the Rfam family "Bacterial small subunit ribosomal RNA", at positions 335 to 638 of the family's 1533-position model. The record is from RNAcentral.
GGCCCUACGGGACGCAGCAGUGAGGAAUAUUGGUCAAUGGGAGGAAUCCUGAACCAGCCAUGCCGCGUGCAGGACGACGGCUCUACGAGUUGUAAACUGCUUUUGUACCGGGGUAAAAUGCCUUACGAGUAGGGUUUUGAAAGUACGGUACGAAUAAGGAUCGGCUAACUCCGUGCCAGCAGCCGCGGUAAUACGGAGGAUCCGAGCGUUAUCCGGAUUUAUUGGGUUUAAAGGGUGCGCAGGCGGGAGAUCAAGUCAGCGGUAAAAUGUCGGGGCUCAACCCCGGCCGGCCGUUGAAACUGGUU